Meriones unguiculatus (Mongolian gerbil) is the source of this 103-nucleotide small nuclear RNA. The record is from Ensembl. NCBI's taxonomy places the organism in Eukaryota, Metazoa, Chordata, Mammalia, Rodentia, Muridae.
UUGCUUUGACAGCACAUAUAAUAAAAUUGGAACAAUGCAGAGAAAAUCACCAUGAUCCCCAUGCAAGAAUGGCACAGAAAUUUGUGAAGUGUUUCACAUUUAA